This 234-nucleotide unclassified non-coding RNA is filed under the name Oryza sativa (Asian cultivated rice). RNAcentral's name for it is "partial microRNA MIR483e precursor". The record is from RNAcentral. Lineage: Eukaryota; Viridiplantae; Streptophyta; Magnoliopsida; Poales; Poaceae.
CACACAUUACGUCUUGGAGUCCGUGUUGCAGCUGGCUACAGAUCUGUAGCCCGUUGCUCUUAUCUCUCUUCCUUUAACUCCUUAGAAUAUGUUUAUAGUUGGUUUAUAACCUGCUACUGUAUCUGCUGCUAUAAAUCAGCUAUAACCACAUAUCGAGAAGAAAAGAGAAGAGAGAGAAAAAAACGGACCACAGAUUUAUAGCCGGUUGUAACACAGACUCCAAGACGUUACGUG